This 77-nucleotide transfer RNA is filed under the name Calidithermus terrae. Its description in RNAcentral is "Meiothermus terrae tRNA-Arg". It matches the Rfam family "tRNA". Rfam says of the family: Transfer RNA (tRNA) molecules are approximately 80 nucleotides in length. Their secondary structure includes four short double-helical elements and three loops (D, anti-codon, and T loops). Further hydrogen bonds mediate the characteristic L-shaped molecular structure. tRNAs have two regions of fundamental functional importance: the anti-codon, which is responsible for specific mRNA codon recognition, and the 3' end, to which the tRNAs corresponding amino acid is attached (by aminoacyl-tRNA synthetases). tRNAs cope with the degeneracy of the genetic code in two manners: having more than one tRNA (with a specific anti-codon) for a particular amino acid; and 'wobble' base-pairing, i.e. permitting non-standard base-pairing at the 3rd anti-codon position. Lineage: Bacteria; Thermotogati; Deinococcota; Deinococci; Thermales; Thermaceae. The record is from RNAcentral. RNAcentral also lists the same sequence under 3 other names.
GCGCCCGUAGCUCAGCCGGAUAGAGCAGCCGCCUUCUAAGCGGUAGGUCGGGGGUUCGAGUCCUCCCGGGCGCGCCA